UUAACAUGCGCAGAACUUAAAAUCCUAUUUCGAACCUCAUUCUUUCUAAAUCAAUUUUGGGACCUAGAGAGCUCGAAAUUGGGAGAUUUCAAGCAUUCUUCAAGAUUCGAUUUGGGGUUUUCGGACGAAACGGGAAUCGCGAUUUGACGAGCGUAAGGCGCCAACCAGGUACAGAAGAUCGUUUGGGUGGUCCUCCAGUUUAGGCUACUCAUUCUGCUGUGUUGGAGAGCUCCCCUUGAUCCGGAGCCUACUUUUGGUACAUACCUUCUGUUGUAUGUGUGUGUUCGGUACAUUUGUGGAUGUGUGGGUACGGCGGGGCCCUGUCCCGUCAUAUGUUCCUAUGUUCUGUUUUGUUUAGAGGCCUGUAGUCACAUUUGUGGGUCGUGGGUCCGGUGUGUUUGUAUGUGAGUCUGUUUUGCGAUCUUAAGCGGCCCGUACGCUACUAUGGCCAAAUCGGCCUCUGAGUUUGUAUGUGUGUGUGUGCAUUUGGGCGAUGUACAUUCCGCCCCU
Molecule: long non-coding RNA, 510 nt
Organism: Lycium barbarum (goji berry)
Lineage: Eukaryota; Viridiplantae; Streptophyta; Magnoliopsida; Solanales; Solanaceae
Exons: 3
Source: RefSeq, a predicted model, not a curated record